GACAGAGGGAGCUCGACCCCCGUGCCGCGGGCGGCCCCGCCGCCCAACGCAUGAGGAAAGUCCCCCCACCGGCCGGACGGGCGACCGGGCGCAAGCCCGGAGUCGGAGACGGCUGGCGCUGGAACAGAAACGAGACCCCCUGCCCCGACCGAUGAGGCGUGCGAACCGACCCGCAAGGGAAGGGAGCUAACCCGCCGAGGGACACGCGGCGCACCGCGCCGCGGAACGCCCGAACGGCCUUGCCGUGAGGGAUAUGCGACGCCUUGCGUCGCAGACGGGCAGGAAGGGAUGGAACGGCGAAUCCUCGCCGGUGCAAGUCCGCGCCGAUAGGUAGUCCGGCCACGGCGCGGACGCUCAGCCGAAUGUCGAGCCGAACGGAAGGGGGCUUACUCCCCUCAGUC
Molecule: RNase P RNA, 401 nt
Filed under: haloarchaeon 3A1-DGR
Lineage: Archaea; Methanobacteriati; Methanobacteriota; Halobacteria; Halobacteriales
Description: RNase P RNA component
Rfam family: Archaeal RNase P
About the family: Ribonuclease P (RNase P) is a ubiquitous endoribonuclease, found in archaea, bacteria and eukarya as well as chloroplasts and mitochondria. Its best characterised activity is the generation of mature 5'-ends of tRNAs by cleaving the 5'-leader elements of precursor-tRNAs.
Source: RNAcentral